Molecule: transfer RNA, 66 nt
Filed under: Phyllochaetopterus sp. AW-2015
Lineage: Eukaryota; Metazoa; Annelida; Polychaeta; Chaetopteridae
Description: tRNA-Thr
Source: RNAcentral
UCCGCUAAAGCCAAAAUCAAGCGGCGCCAACCUUGUAAGUUGGAGAAUGGUACCUACCUGGCGGAA